GGUUUUUUGAAUUAUAAUUUAAGAUUAGUUCUGCUCAAUGAUUUGAAAUUAAAUAGCCGCAGUAUUUUGACUGUGCUAAGGUAGCAUAAUCAAUUGUUUUUUAAUUAAGAACUGGAAUGAAGGAAUUGAUGAGAUUAAGACUGUCUAAUAUAAAAUGUUAAAAUUUAAAUUUUAAGUAAUAAUUCUUAAAUAAAAUUAUGGGACGAGAAGACCCUAUAGAAUUUGAUAUAAUUUUUUAAAAUAAAUAUAAAAUAAGAUUUAAUAAAAUUAAUAUUUUAUUGGGAGGAUAAUUAAAUUAAAUUAACUUUAAAAUUAAAAUUGAACAUUAAUUUAUGAUAAUAAUUGAAUAAUUUUAUAAUAAUAAUUAAAAUUAAUUAAAAAUUAAUUACCUUAGGGAUAACAGCGUAAUAUUUUUAAAAAGAUCAUAUUGAUAAAAGUGUUUGCGACCUCGAUGUUGAAUUAAAAUAAAAAUUAAAUGAAGAAGUUUAAUAUUUUAGUCUGUUCGACUAUUAAAAUUUUA
RNAcentral lists this ribosomal RNA (520 nucleotides) under Lasius niger. Its description in RNAcentral is "partial 16S ribosomal RNA". The record is from RNAcentral. Lineage: Eukaryota; Metazoa; Arthropoda; Insecta; Hymenoptera; Formicidae.